This 497-nucleotide ribosomal RNA is filed under the name uncultured bacterium. Its description in RNAcentral is "partial 16S ribosomal RNA". It matches the Rfam family "Bacterial small subunit ribosomal RNA", at positions 28 to 507 of the family's 1533-position model. The record is from RNAcentral.
GAUGAACGCUGGCGGCGUGCCUAAUACAUGCAAGUCGAGCGAACGGACGAGAAGCUUGCUUCUCUGAUGUUAGCGGCGGACGGGUGAGUAACACGUGGAUAACCUACCUAUAAGACUGGGAUAACUUCGGGAAACCGGAGCUAAUACCGGAUAAUAUUUUGAACCGCAUGGUUCAAAAGUGAAAGACGGUCUUGCUGUCACUUAUAGAUGGAUCCGCGCUGCAUUAGCUAGUUGGUAAGGUAACGGCUUACCAAGGCAACGAUGCAUAGCCGACCUGAGAGGGUGAUCGGCCACACUGGAACUGAGACACGGUCCAGACUCCUACGGGAGGCCGCAGCAGGGAAUCUGCCGCAAUGGGCUAAAGUCUGACGGAGGAACGGCGCGUGAGUGAUGAAGGAGUGCAGAUCGGAAAAAUGUGAUACUAGAGAAGAACAUAUGUGGAAGUAACGGUGCAUAGCGAGACGGUACAAAGUCAGAAUGACACGGAUAACUAUGUU